CCUCUUUCUUCUUCCUUGCGGCCUCUUGGUCAAUGGACGAGAGUCUGAACCAGCCAAGUAGCGUGAAGGAUGACUGCCCUAUGGGUUGUAAACUUCUUUUAUAUGGGAAUAAAAUGUUCCACGUGUGGGAUUUUGUAUGUACCAUAUGAAUAAGGAUCGGCUAACUCCGUGCCAGCAGCCGCGGUAAUACGGAGGAUCCGAGCGUUAUCCGGAUUUAUUGGGUUUAAAGGGAGCGUAGGUGGAUUGUUAAGUCAGUUGUGAAAGUUUGCGGCUCAACCGUAAAAUUGCAGUUGAAACUGGCAGUCUUGAGUACAGUAGAGGUGGGCGGAAUUCGUGGUGUAGCGGUGAAAUGCUUAGAUAUCACGAAGAACUCCGAUUGCGAAGGCAGCUCACUGGACUGCAACUGACACUGAGGCUCGAAAGUGUGGGUAUCAAACAGGAUUAGAUACCCUUGUAGUC
RNAcentral lists this ribosomal RNA (459 nucleotides) under uncultured bacterium. Its description in RNAcentral is "partial 16S ribosomal RNA". It matches the Rfam family "Bacterial small subunit ribosomal RNA", at positions 331 to 795 of the family's 1533-position model. The record is from RNAcentral.